GCGGCUAUAAGUUAAUGGUAGACCUACAGUUUUCCGAUCUGGAGAUGUCAGUUCAAGUCUGACUAGUCGCG
RNAcentral lists this transfer RNA (71 nucleotides) under Ophiocordyceps lanpingensis. RNAcentral describes it as "tRNA-Gly". It matches the Rfam family "tRNA". From Rfam's summary of the family: Transfer RNA (tRNA) molecules are approximately 80 nucleotides in length. The record is from RNAcentral. Lineage: Eukaryota; Fungi; Ascomycota; Sordariomycetes; Hypocreales; Ophiocordycipitaceae.